This 460-nucleotide ribosomal RNA is filed under the name uncultured bacterium. RNAcentral describes it as "partial 16S ribosomal RNA". It matches the Rfam family "Bacterial small subunit ribosomal RNA", at positions 338 to 795 of the family's 1533-position model. The record is from RNAcentral.
CCUACGGGGGGCAGCAGUGAGGAAUAUUGGUCAAUGGGCGCGAGCCUGAACCAGCCAAGCCGCGUGAAGGAUGAAGGCACUAAGGGUUGUAAACUUCUUUUAUCAGGGAAUAAAGAGAGGCACGUGUGCCUGUUUGAAUGUACUUUAUGAAAAAGCAUCGGCUAACUCCGUGCCAGCAGCCGCGGUAAUACGGAGGAUGCGAUCGUUAUCCGGAUUUAUUGGGUUUAAAGGGAGCGUAGAUGGGUUGUUAAGUCAGUUGUGAAAGUUCGCGGCUCAACCGUCAAAUUGCAUUUGAUACUGGCAGCCUUGAGUACAGGAGAGGUAUGCGGAAUUCGUGGUGUAGCGGUGAAAUGCAUAGAUAUCGCGAAGAACUCCGAUUGCGAAGGCAGCCUGCUGGACUGCCACUGACGCUGAUGCACGAAAGUGUGGGUAUCAAACAGGAUUAGAUACCCCGGUAGUC